RNAcentral lists this non-coding RNA (24 nucleotides) under Arabidopsis thaliana (thale cress). Lineage: Eukaryota; Viridiplantae; Streptophyta; Magnoliopsida; Brassicales; Brassicaceae. The record is from RNAcentral.
AGCCACAAGAUAAUUGAUCCGCAA